This 184-nucleotide long non-coding RNA is filed under the name Cavia porcellus (domestic guinea pig). RNAcentral describes it as "lncRNA (ENSCPOG00000036982.1)". The record is from RNAcentral. Lineage: Eukaryota; Metazoa; Chordata; Mammalia; Rodentia; Caviidae.
AGAGACUCACAGCCUCAUGGUGGUGUUGCCUGAGCUCCUGUUUGCAGGACAGAGUGUGCAUGCCUCUGAGAGUAAGGAAGUGUGUGUGAGGAGUGCCCAGCAGAGCAGGCAGAGCAGCAUGCUGACUCUGAUGAGAAAAUGGAAAUGCAGUGCAGUGAGCAGUAUGCUGUCUGCGGUUCAAUGA